UUUCUCUCCAGAACUGGAGCUGGAGUUUGGCUUUUCUCCCGUGAGAAGCUCCACAAGAACUACCCCAAAGCUGAAGACAUCGCUCCUUGCGGUUAAAAUACCCGUCAUAAGAUACUCUGGAUCCAGGUAGCCUAAAGUCCCUUGAAUUUUUGUUGCUAUAAUGGUUUGGUCUGAAGAAAUCAGCACUGAAGCUCCAAAAUCUGCAACCUUUGCCGUGUGGUUGUUGUCUAAGAGUAUGUUCACCGACUUGACAUCUCCAUGAAUAAUCGGAGGGUCUGCAAGAGAAUGCAGGUAAUUAAGCGCAAGGGCAAUCUCUGAUGCUAUCCUCAGGCGAUUGCUCCAGGAAGCUAGUAACUGCGACGUUUGUCAUGUAUGUGCUUGAAAAGAGUUCCAUUUGAAAUGAACUCAUCAACUAACAAUGGCACUUUGGUCUCCAAACACAGGCCCAAGAGCUUCACCACGUUCUUGUGAUUGACCUGUGAGACAACGCCCAUUUCCUUUUGAAAUUCCUCAUUCAUCUGAGCCUUGUCUACCCCUUUAAACUUCUUGACUGCAACUUGGACAUCAUCUGCUAGAACUCCUCUGUAAACAGAACCAAAACCACCUUCUCCAAGUUUCUGAUCAUCAUCAUAGUUUUUUGUUGCCUUUUCCAGCUGCGCCUCGCUGAAAAUCCUUACUCGUUGGUGCUUUAAAACCAUUCCCCCGUUCUCCCUGAAGUUUCUAUCCUUCUUCCUUUUCUUGCACAUCAUGUACAGUAGAACACAAAUGAUCACAAGCAAAAUGGCUGCUCCAAUAGCUGCAUACCAAUGUCAAAGAAAAAUUAUUGUUGCUUUAAACACAAAUCUAGAGAUUUCUUCUCUAACCUUUUACCGAGUGAUAUAUGGCCAUUAGUAUCAUCAUAAGAGCAUCUAAAUCGCAUUUUUUUUUACUGUUCUCAGAUUAAGUUUUUUUGCACACCAAGACGUAAUUCCCUUUUCCGAUCCAGCUAAAGUCAAGCAAUGCAAGUUGGGAUUAGGAGAUUCAUGAAUAUUCAUUAUAUAUGCUAGUCUUUUUAAUCAUAUACUUAUUGAAAAUCAUCAAAAAAAGAAGAACCAUACAUGCAUAGAUAUAAAUGCCUGUUCUUAUUGUUAAUUGUCUAUAAAGCUGAAGCUCGAGAAUUACAUGUUGAAUAUUAAACUCAAUCUAGAUGGUCAAGGAAGACAACCACCAUUUGCAGCCACAGCUGCCACCAGCCGCAGCCGCCAGCUACUAGCUGCCACAGCCGCCAGCCGCCAGCUGCCUUCACACUUGAAGGUUGAAUUUUCUAGUUUUUUGAUUUCGUGUAUGAAUAGAGUGCCCAGCUUCUGUUAAUGUGUAUGGAGAGAAUUGAGAGAAACACUAGAAAGAGAAAAAGAGAGAGAGAGGGCGUGUAUUGUGUUAAGCUUUUGUUGUUUAAUUGUAAGCUUCGGUUUCUUGUAAUAAAACCUUGUGUUUUAUCCCCUCUGAGUGUUUCAAAGCCACCACCAGUGGUUUCUCCCACCAACAAUUGGUAUCAGAGCCUCGUUCGUUAGAAAACAGAAGAGUUUUGGGGUAUAUCCGAAUUUUCAAAGUUGUCAAAAACAAGUUUUGAUAAUUCCACAGUGUAGAGCUCAUCAAGAGGAACUCACUGUCGCAAGAAUAAGCCUGAUCGGAGACCACGGUGAGCCACACGCGCGGCCUGAAGAUUCUGCACAAACGCCCACGCGCCCAGAGGUAGACGACGACUGAUCCACACGCGCGCCAUAUUUGAGCCGCGCCGAGCCGUUCACGCCGAGUCCAAGCCGAGCCGAGAGCCGUGCCGUACAGCGCGCCGAGAGAAUAUUUCCCAGAAUAUUCCUGGUUCAACCCAGCGAACCGCCCGCCUUACAUAAUUGGUUUUUUGAUCGGUUCACCCAUUUUUUGACCCGAUUUCAACAAAGUCAGACCGGUUCCCUACUAUUUGGACCAUUCUGGAUCGAUCUACAGUGUCCGUUUGGCCAAAUUCGGCUCCCAGAAGGUGAUAUAGUCAUUAAAAGAGCAAAAUAACUAUAGAAAGUACACAUACACUCAUCCCGAAGCUGACCAAAGACAAUUAUGAUAGUUGGUGCAUCAGAUUGAAGGCAUUCCUUUGUUCACAAGAGUGUUUGGAUAUUGUACAACAUGGUUAUGAUGAACCAGAGUCCAAAGAAGCAGAAGAUGCUUUACAAGAGGCACAAAAGCAAGCCCUCAAAGUCAACAGAAAGAAAGACAACAAAGCAAAGACCAUCAUCUAUCAGGGUGUUGAUGAAGACACAUUCGAGAUCAUAGCUUCCGCUGAAACAUCACAUGAUAUAUGGGAGGCUCUCCAACAGAAAUACAAAGGUGCUGACAGAAUCAAGAAGAUUCGUCUUCAAUCUUUACGAGGUGAAUUUGAGUUAUUGCAAAUGAAGUCCUCAUAAUCUAUUUCUGAUUAUCACACAAGGAUUAUGGUAAUAGUCAACCAGAUGAGGAGAAAUGAAGAAGCCCUCAUCGAUUCUCGAAUUACUGAGAAAAUUUUGAGAUCCCUAGAUCCAAAAUUUGAUUUUGUUGUUGUCGCAAUUGAAGAAUCCAAGGAAGUGGACAAGUUGACAGUUGAUGAGCUUAUGAGUUCGUUGCAAGCUCAUGAGCAGAAGAUAGUAAAGCGAAAUGAAGAUAAGGCCAUCGAGCAUGCCUUACAAGCAAAGCUGUCUCUCAAAGACAGAUAUGAGCAAGGGGAGACUUCAACAAGUGGCUACACUACUCAAGCAGGAAGUUAACAAUCUAGAGGAGGAUUUCAGAGAUUCCAAGGAAGAGGUUCUUGGAAUACAAGCUUUAAAGGAAGAGGUGGCAGAAACAUCACCAGAGGAGGCCGAGGACAACAAGCAUUCACUCUUAGAGGAAGAGGAGGCGGUUACAAUAACCGUGACAAGAGGAAUAUCCAAUGUUAUAGUUGCAAUCAAUUUGGGCACUAUAGCACUGAAUGCAGAAGGAAAGCUCCGUUGGAGAUACGCGAGCAAGCCAACUAUGUAGAGAAGGAUGAUAGAGAAGAAGCUGCAUUUCUUGUCCAACAAGGACUUGGCGAGAAACAGGAAAAUACAUGGUAUCUAGAUACUAGAGCCAGCAAUCACAUGUGCGGCUACCGAGAGUUAUUUGGCGAUCUAGAUGAGACCAAGCAAGGUCUAGUUACUUUUGGAGAUACCACAAAGGUUCCAUUCAAAGGUAAAGGCAGCAUCCCAAUUAAGUUGAAGAACGACGAUUCCAGCUACAUCGCCGAUGUGUAUUAUGUCCCAGCCAUAAAGCAGAACCUGAUCAGCUUAGGUCAACUUUUGGAGAGAGGAUAUACUUUUUACUCGAAGAAUUGUCAUCUGACAAUUAGAGACAACAAUUGGAGAUUAAUGGCCUACGUGAAAAUGUCUAAGAAUAGGAUGUUUCCUUUGAACAUCCAGUAUGAUGCAGCAAGGUGUUUGAGUGCCAUCACCAACAGUGAAGAAUGGCUUUGGCACCUGAGGCUUGGACUUCUGAAUUUCACAAGUCUGAAGAUGCUAGCAAGCAAGAAGAUGGUCAAAGGUUUGCCUCACAUUGAUCAUCCAGAUGAAGUCUGUGAGAGUUGUGUCCUCAGCAAACAUCACAGAUCCAGUUUUGCCAAAGAAGUCAACUGGAGAGCAAAGAGGCCACUGGAGUUAGUACACACAGAUGUGUGUGGCCCAAUAACGCCUAUGUCGACUGGACAAAAUAGGUACUUCCUCACUUUUACUGAUGAUUUUAGUAGAAAGACGUGGAUAUACUUUCUGAAGAGGAAGUCAAAGUAUUCAAUUGUUUUAAAGAUUUUAAAGCAAUUGUGUAGAAGCAAAGUGGCUACAUGAUCAGAACCGUGAGAUCUGAUCAAGGUGGAGAAUAUACAACCAAUGACUUUGAAGCCUUUUGUACACAACAAGGCAUCCGACAUCAAACGAUACCAGCUUAUACACCACAGCUGAAUGGUGUAGCCGAGAGGAAGAAUCGAACGAUUCUUGACAUGGCCAGAAGUUUGCUCAAAGCAAAGAAGCUGCCUAAGCAAUACUGGGCUGAAGCUGUAUCAUGUGCAGUGUAUCUAUUGAAUCGCUGCCCAACCAGAAGUUUGCAAGGAGUCAUUCCAGAAGAAGCAUGGAGUGGUCACAAACCAAGUGUAACUCAUCUACGAGUCUUUGGUUGUGUGGCAUAUGCAAAGAUCCCAGAUACAAGAAGGAGAAAGCUCGAUGAUAAAAGCGAGAAAUGCAUCUUUGUCGUAUAUUGUGAAAGAAGGAUGGGAUACAAGCUGUAUAAUCCCAUCACGAAGAAGGUGAUUAUGAGUAGAGAUGUUAUCUUUGAAGAAGAUAAAUCUUGGGAAUGGAAUGAUGAUCAAGAAGCAGUCAAAUGGAUCAAUCUUGAUUUGAUCCUUGAAGGUGAAGAAGUACCAACAGUACUUGUAGAAGAACCGAUUGUGCCAGCAUCUGAACCACAAAGUCCGGUGUUUAUACCAGCAGCUGAACCACAAAGUCCGGUACACAGAUUCCCUGUAUUCAACAGGAGGAACACACCAGGAGCAUCAUCAUCAACACCACCAUCAGCAUCCUCAUCAGAAGGACCAAGAAGGAUGCGAAAUCUUGAAGAGUUGUACGAUGCCACUCAAGUCAUGGAAGAUACAACUCUGUUUUGUUUCCAUGCAGAUAGUGACCCAUUAAGCUUAAAUAAAGUUGUCACUGAAGAGAAAUGGAUUAAAGCAAUGGAUGAAGAAAUACAUGCCAUUGAGAAGAAAGAUACCUGGAAGCUGACUUAUCCACCAGAAAACAAGAAAGCAAAAGGUGUCAAAUGGGUCUACAAGACGAAAGCCAAAUUAGUGGAUAAAGGCUACAAGCAGAGAGAAGCCAAAUUCAAUCUAGAUGGUCAAGGAAGGCAACCACCACUUGCAGCCACAGCUGCCACCAACCGACCAGCCACCAGCCGCAGCCGCCAGCCGCCUUCACACUUGAAGGUUGAAUUUUCUAGUUUUUUGAUUUCGUGUAUAAAUAGAGUGCCCAGCUUCUGUUAAUGUGUGUGGAGAGAAUUGAGAGAAACACUAGAAAGAGAAAGAGAGAGAGAGGGCGUGUAUUGUGUUAAGCUUUUGUUGUUUAAUUAUAAGCUUCGAUUUCUUGUAAUAAAACCUUGUGUUUUAUCCCCUCUGAGUGUUUCAAAGCCACCACCAGUAGUUUCUCCCACCAACAUUACAGACUCGGCCAGUAAUGGCUACGAUGCUCUUCAUAACGGAGAAACUCAUAACAAGAUUAAUUCCAAGGUCACUUCCGUACCUGCAAUUAAUGUGAUGAUAUCAAGUCCUUGACAACCUAUUUUAACAUCACCAUGCAUACCAAGUGGACAUCGACACUUGUAAUUCCCAAUGGUGUUCUUGCAUCUACCAUGACAUGGAUAGCUUUCUGGAUCCUUGCACUCAUCGAUAUCUAAAUGUUAAAAAAAGUAGUGAGUAACAAACCGCUACUAUUUUAUGCUUAAUCAUGGAAUGAAGAUUGAGAUUGAUGGAUGUUUAGUACUUAAAUACUUUGAAACUAUAUCAUGCAACCAUUUUAAUUAAAAAUCUCAAACUGUUUAAAGAAUUUUCAAAAAUAAAUUUAUAUUACUCUGUAGGCUAGUUGCUUAUAAAGCUACAACUCGGGAAUUAUAGAUAGUGCAAGUAAUGGCUGCAACGCCUCAAAACGGAGAAGCUCAUAACAAGAUUAAUUCCAAGGUCACUUACGUACCUGUAAUUAAUGUGAUGAUACCAAGUCCUUGACAACCUAUUUUACCAUCACCAUACAUACCAAGUGGACAUCGACACUUGUAAUUCCCAAUGGUGUUCUUGCAUCUACCAUGACAUGGAUAGCUUUCUGGAUCCUUGCACUCAUCGAUAUCUAAAUGUUGAAAAAAGUAGCGAGUAAAAUCUGAUUAUAAAUUCGAAAAAUAAAUUAUAUAAAAAAUAAAUCGUGCCAAUUAAAUGGAUAUGAUUAGGCAAUGAAAGAUUUGCAUGUAUAUUAACCAAUUGGUCUAGCAUGAAACUCAGGUAGUGCUUAAGUUGAAAUGUUUAAUAAAAAACACUAAUCAUGAGAUGGAAAUUUUAAGCAAGCUCAAAUUUCAAACUAGGCCACAUGAUUUUUUUUAUUAUUAUUACACAUGACGAGAGACAAACAGGGAAAGAGCAUAACCUGCAAAAGCAUAUAUAAAAAGUACUAAUAAUGGAAAUCAUACCAAAAAUCAAUAACCAGUUUACCUUGGCAUCCUUCUUGGAGAUAGGGAUUUCCUUCGAACCCUUCAUUGCAUAAGCAACGAUAUCCUUGACCACUCUCCGGGUACGUGCAAUUUGCAUUAGCGCCACAAGCAUAUGCACUUGCAUUAGCUUUAGCCUGCUCGCAAGUCUCAUUUUUAACUACCCAUUCAAUCACAAUAUCUGUUCUAUAUGCAUCUUUUCCAUAUUUUGGCUUGCGAGAGAGCGGCCAAUCUGAAAUCUUCAAGGAGUUCUUGUCCACUAAAAAAGCAAAUCCACAGAGAUUGAAGUCCGAAACGUUCGUGUAGUUGUAAAAACUAAAUAAUGAAAUAUCAAGUGAUUUGAGGCCCUUGGGGAUUGAGCUUUGGCAGCAUCCAGAACCUGAGCAAGGAUUUACAUCGGACAUGCUCACAUAUUCUGUGCACAAGGAGAGACAGGCAGCUCCAUAUGUGAACUCAUAGUUGGUCACCUGGGCAAAGGUAUCGCAACCAAUAGCUGUGAAGAUAUUUCGGAGGUGUGAGAGCAUGAAGGGGCCUGAUCCAAGGGUCAUAUACUGUGGGAAAGAGUCUAUCUGUAUCCCUGAUUUGUUAUAGCAUUUGAAUGCUGCAUCAAUGCCUAGAGUUACUGUGCCCUCCAGCUGUGAUAUAUUGUGAAUAGCCAUGCCAGUUCCAAACCACAGCUGUGAUUUGGAGAUCUUCUGGUUUGAUAGUUGCAAGGAAUUUCCCGGUGACUAUAGAUUGGUAAAGAAACUAGGAACUUUGGGGAAAAGAUUGAGACAAUGGAACAAAUCCACCUUCGGUAAUCAAAAUUCAAAACUUGCAGACAUUCAGAACUCCAUCACAACCAUCGAAGACUUAAGCGAGGUACGCCUCUUGUCUGAGACUGAAAAAACAAAGCUCAAGAAUCUAAACUCUGAACUUUGGGAGGUUAGUAGGAAUGUCGAGGGCAUUUGGAGGCAGAAAUCCCAGCAAAACUGGUGCAAAAUGGGGGAUAAAAACACUCGGUUCUUCCAUCUUUCGGCAAGUUUGAGGAAUGGUCGGAACCACAUUAGCAAGAUUGAGCAGAAUGGCAGAUUUUUAGACUCUCCAAAUGACAUCAAAGAGGGUGCUGUCAACUUCUUCUCAACUCUGUUUGCCAAGCCACAAUGCAGAAGAAUUGAAAUGGGAGACUCAGGGUUCUCUAAAAUUUCAGAAGAAAGUUCAGUUUGGUUAGAAAGACUACCUUCAUUGGAGGAAGUGAAGCAAGCCGUUUGGGAUUGUGAUGGUUCAAAAGCCCCCGGUCCUGACGGGUUCACCUUCUCCUUCUAUAAAAAGGAAUGGAAUCUUAUCAGCCCUGAAUCUUUGUGAUGGUCACAGAAUUUUUCAGAACAGGUAAAUUACCAAAGGGGAUCGGCUCGUCCUUCGUGACUUUGAUUCCAAAGACCAAGAGGCCGAGCACUUUCUCCCAAUUUCGACCAAUUAGUUUGAUUCAUGGGUUAUAUAAAAUAGUGGCAAAGCUCUUGUCCAUUAGGCUCCGAAGCAUUCUACCAGAUGUGAUAAGUGUAAACCAGUCUGCUUUCAUUGCCGGGCGUCAGAUUCUAGAUGGGUUCAUGAUAGCAAACGAGGUUGUCCAUAGUAUUCGUAGCAAAAAGGACCACGAGUUUUUGCUGAAGGUAGAUUUUCAUAAAGCCUUCGACUCGAUUUUAUGGGAGCAUAUCGAUUCUACCAUGGGUUAUAUGGGUUUUGGAUCUCACUGGAGGAAACUGAUCUUUGAAUGCAUGUCCACUUCUAAAUUGGCCAUCCUGAUUAAUGGCUCACCAAGCAGAGAAUUCAGUAUGGAGAGGGGUCUCAGGCAAGGGGACCCUCUCUCUCCUUUCCUUUUUGACAUAGCAGUUCAGGGGUUAACAGUUCUAUUCAACAGGGCAUCAGAUUUAGGUUACUUUAAAGGUUUACAGACUUCGCAAGGACAUCACAUAACCCAUUUGCAAUAUGCAGAUGACACUCUGAUUUUCCUGUCGAAUGAUUAUACCUCUCUACUGCAUGUCAAGAGGAUCCUCCGCUGGUUUGAGAUCAUUUCAGGACUGAAAGUUAAUUUCUAUAAAAGCUCACUUAUAGGAAUUAAUUUGGAUAACGAAUACACUUCAGGUCUGGCUAACACAAUUUUCUAUCGCAGUGACUCCUUCCCAGUCAGAUACCUUGGGUUGCCUCUUGGUGCUAACCCAAAUAGGCUCUCCACUUGGAAACCGGUAUUGUCCACAAUCAGAGCAAAGUUAAGCAAAUGGAAAUGGAAGUUUUUGAGCAUGGCCGGUGUCGCUCCCCAAAAAAAAUCAGUGCGCGGCAUCGGCUGGCGAUUUAAAUCUCGUUUGUUGUGUUUGCUUUGAAUUGGUUCGUUGGAGUCGCCACCUAGUAAUUGAAUGCGGGCUACUAGGAAACCGGAUGUACUGGUCUUGUCAGAGAUUCGCGGGUAAGGGACUGGUUGUGGCUAGGGAAGGUAUUAGCACCCCUAACGCACCCUACCUGAGGUAAGCUGCUUCGUGAAUUCGAUGUGUUAAAGAAGUUUUAAUAAUUGUCUUUUCAUCGGAAAUUAGAAAUAUCACUUACGUAUAAGUUAAUAAUUCUUAACCGAGAUUCGAUCAAAAUAUUAAAUUCUUCUUUAAUAUAUUUUCAAUUUUAUCAUAAAAAAAAUAUAUAUAUACAAAUGAAUAAAACAAAAUACAAACAAACACAUACACUUUCACCAUUUUUGUUUCUUUUCUUUUUUCUUUUUUUCUUUUUUCUUUUCUUUUCUUUUCUUUUCUUUUACAUCCAUAUUUACAAAAUACAAAAUCAUAAAAAACUCAAAACUAAAUAAAUAUUACAUUAAACAAUUUAGAAAUUACAAAAUGAACCAAAACAUUCCGGAACAGUGCUGGAAACCUCUAAAUCGCCGGAACAGUGGCGUGAAGCCGCUGGGACAAUAGGCGGCGCGUCUUCCCACGUGCCACCGCCAUUGGCGGCGCGUGAACCCACGCGCCGCCACAAAAUACCUGAAAACAAGCGGGUCUUGCUCAGCUUCUUCUCUUCCAACCGGUGACGACCUGUAAUCAAGAAUAGAACACACACAACAGUUGAUUUUACUCCAUUUUUGUCCGAAUCUAUUCUGAUUAUUUUGUUUUUUAGAUCUGUUAUUUUCUGUAUUCUUUGUUCUUCGUGCGUUUGUUCUUUCCUUCUUCAACCGGUGGCUGGUCUGGCGGUGGUGAAGAGGGUGACGGCAGCCAGGCGGACCGAUCUGGGAUCUGUGGAUGGUUCUGGAGGGAGUCUGUUGGCUGCGUGCUGCUGACUCUCCGGCGAGAUAGCUGGUUCGGGUGGUGCUGCAGUCUCUCUGUAGCAGUAGAAGGCUGACCGGCGAGAGGAGAGUGAGGGUGUCUUGUCUGGCGACAGUGACUACUGCUAGUGGAAGAAGGCUGGACGAUUUGGGUCCGUCAGCGCUACUGUGUUGGGGCUGGUCUAGGUCGAUUAUGAUGGAGACAGGUGGCGGUGUUGAGGUGCAGCGGCGGCUGUGAGGGAAGGAGACCGGCGAUGGGGUUGUUUGGGUCGUGAGCGGGUGAAGGGAGAAGAAACCAAAAAUCAAAACAAAAGGGGGGUCGGCUGCAGAGAAAAUGAAAAUUGCACAGGGGAGAGGGUCAUGGCUGCUUGUGUCCGGCCAAAAGAGAAUAAAGCUGGCGUUGAGGGAAAACGGUGAUGGAGGGGGUUAUGUGCAGAGUUUUUUUUUUCUUUGGGCAGAGGGCAAGGGAGAGAAGAGAAAAAAAUGUUGGAGAGGAAAGGGGCGUCGGUGGAGAGCUGAAAAUCAGAGGGUGGGGGCUGCUCCGAUUGAGUGAGAAGAGAAAAAAAAAAUUCAAAAGGUGAGGGGGGCUGGCUUGGUUCAGCGGCUGCCAGGGGGAAAAUCUUUUAGGUUUAGGGUUUUUGUUCUUGUGUUUUCUCUCCCACAAUCUCAAAAUUGCCCCCCUCCCUUUGUGUGAGUUAAAGACCAGUAUUUAUAGGUAAAAAAUGUUGCCAAGUUUUUCAACUUGGUCCCUCAACUUCUUUCUUUUUGUAAAUUUUGAUUUUUCUUAGUUUUUUGUAUUUUUUUUUUUAAAACGAGCAAUAUCACCGUCGACUCAACGAGGAAAAUCAAUGUUUUUAAAAAUAACGCGUGAAAAGUCGAACGCGUUUGAAAAUCUUUUUAAAAAAAUUUAAAUUCUGUUUUUUUUUAGACGACGUUGAAAAUGCUAAAAGGACGAAAAUAUAAAAAAACAUAUUUUUUGGAUUUUCAUUGUUUUUCUCUAUUUUUGGAUUUUUUGAAAAUAUAUCAAAAACAUUGGUCAAAAAUUGAGUAGCUACAACCGGAAGGAUAUGUCUUAUUAAAUCUGUCUUAAACUCUCUACCUCUAUACUAUAUGUCGGUCUUUAUUAUGCCAAAGGGCAUUGCAAAAGCAAUAUCCUCAAUCAACCGUUGUUUUCUCUAGAAGGGCUCCUCAAAUUCACAUGGUUUUUGUAAGGUUGCUUGGCAUAAGGUAAUUAAGAGUAAGCCACUUGGAGGUCUCGGGCUUGGUUCUAUUCACAGUAAAAAUCUGGCUCUGAUGUUUAAAUGGCUUUGGAACCUUGACAAAGGAGUGGCAGGAGGUUGGCAAGAACUCAUCUUACGAAAGUAUCAACCACAUUUUACAAAUGGCCUUCCUGUGUUUGCAGGUUCCUUAUCUCCAACUUGGCGUGGCAUGGUAUCUGCAAUUUCCUUAAAUCACAGCAUAGCCGCUCCCAUCCAAUCCAAUGUUGGGUUUAAGGUGGGUGAUGGGAGAAACAUCAGGUUUUGGUCUGAUUCUUGGCUAGGCUAUGCAACCCCUCUCCAGUUCAUGUUCCCUAGGCUCUACAACCUCUCCCUACAGCAAUCUUUAAGCGUUGCAGAAGUUCAUAACCCAAUAGAUAACUCAAUCAAUCUUUCUUGGAGAAGACCACUUCGAUCCCGAGAACUCUACAUGUGUGAAAGCUUGAUAGCAGAAGUGGAACGUGGCCUAGUCUUCUCUGAUGGUGAAGACAACAAGAUUUGGAAACACCAUAGCUCCAACAAUUACACAGUCUCCUCUGGGUGCCAUCUCUUUGACGGUUUAAAUGUUUCAGGACAUCUUCACUCCCUGCUUUGCUUUGGAAAGGGUUUGCGCCUCCACAAAUAGAUGUGUUCAUAUGGCAUCUUUUCAAUGGCAGUGUCUGCACAAAGGGUUUCUUAGCUGAGAGGAGAAUCAUCAAUUACAAAGGAAGCUCUUUGUCCUUUCUGCUACAAGGAGAUUGAGACUACACAUCAUCUUUUCCAUCUUUGUCCAAAAUCAUGGUCUCUUUGGGGCAGACUAUUUAGUUGGUUUGGGUGUGUAGGUUGUCUGCCAAAAGAACCAUAUCAUAACGUUCAGGAAUGGUCCAACAUGGUAAAAGGAAAAUUCCAGCGUCAGGCAAUUACCCUUCUCUGUAAAGGAUUAUACUGGUCAAUUUGGAUAGCGCGCAACCACAUGAUCUUUGACAACAAAACUCCAGACUGGGAUGUGAUUUUUGACCUCACCUUUCAUCGGUUGACCUUUUGGUUGAAGUCCUUUAUUAAAAAUUUCAGCUAUACGGGCUCUGAUCUUUAUAGGAAUCCUGAAUGUAUUAUGAACUGGACUAACUAGUCAGGUAUUUAGAUUCCUUGUUUUCUUAAUGUAUUUUUAAUUUCCCAUGUAAUCUUCCUUAUCAGCCCUCAUCUCCUUAAUGGGGGCGUAUUAUUUAUAAUAUUCUCGAUUACUAUCAAAAAAAAAAAAGCCACAGUUCAUGAUGACCUUCAUCGUUAGAACUGCAAUUUAGGAAGAAGAAGUCGUUCAUGGCACAACUUCGUUCCAAAAUCCCAAACGGGUAAGGAACACUAACAUUCCCACACGUUUCUAGGCAGCCAGGUUUCACAUCUGACCUAGUUGUAGCUGCCACCGCAACAACAACAGCAACAUCAUCAGCCAAGACACCCACAUGAUCUGCAGGAUCAUUUUUUAUGCACUCCUCAGCUUGUGUGGCUUAGAAAACUAUCUCCCUCUAAUUUGUGUGGCCUUUUUUCCUGCUAGAGAGUUUAUACUGCUAUGGGAAACUAUCCAAUUCAUGAGCAUGACGAAUGCCAAUUCUAAAAACAGAAUAAAACAUAACAAAUGGAGAGCGUGCUCGGUACACCGAUGAAGACCUAACUACCCAUUGCAACAAUUGUUCAACGUAUCCUCCCUUCUUUUUUUUUGCCCCCCUUUCUUCUUUGUCUUAAAAAAGAAAAAUGACUUGUAUAUAUAAUGAAGUCCAUCUGACAAUAUUGAAAAUUCGCCUCCAUCCAAUCUGUGUUCUGUCUCGUCUGAUCAGUAGAUAAUUUGUUCUGACCCAAUCUUGAAAACAACGUAGUCAGCUCCUUCGAAAAUCAAUGAAAAAUAAAAAAACAUUUUGCAUCUAAUUAUAUAUUAAUAUUUGAGUUUGUUGUGUAAGUCAGCUGCCAAGUCGACUACAUCAGCCGCAUUAACCACUUGCGAAGUUGCUUGCCCUUUGGCUAGAGGCACGCAUUGGUUUUUUAGCCUUGUUCAAAUAAUCAUUUAAACUUAAUAAGCCUAACAUUACAAAGCACCGUUAUUCACAUUACAAGUAAUCAUUUAAGGUCGAGAUCUCUUAUUAAGAAAAAAGAUGUUAUCAAAACACCACAAUUUACAUCAUAAGGGAAUUUAGAUUUAUUGACCAUGGAUAUUAUUAUAUAAUUUUAUUGAUCUAGUUUGCAUUUGAAAUCAAUUUUAUGGUGUGUUUAAAUAUGUUUUGGUGUUUCGAAGAUAUUAUAUAUAAUUUUUUUUAUAAUGAAAGUGAUUGAAUUCACUAAGAUUAUGAGCGGUUAUUAUGAAAUAAAUCCUUAAAAAUAUCUAUAAAGUAUAUAUGUGAUGAGUUUAUGAUUUGUACCUGUCGGAUAAGUUCAUGUUAGAAUUAUUUGAGUUUAAUGUAUUUGCUUUGUGUUAUGAGUUACGCAAAUGAUGAGAUGAGUUAUGUUCUAGGAUGAAAAUUAAUAAUCAAUGUGUGCUUGAAAUUAAUAUUGUUCUUGAGUGUAUUUAUUUUGAUUACUAACUAAGUCAUCAAAAGUUGGUCUUCUUCAUAAUUAUUUUUAUUUUAGGCAUAUAGAUUUAAAAAACAUGCAUGACAUGGCAAAAAUACAAUAAUAGCAAAUUAAACAUGAUUAUUUUUUAUGCACUGCCCAACUUGUAUGACAUAAUAAUACUACUUCCCUCUCUAAUCUGUGUGGCCUUAUUACGUGGUAGAUAAUUUAUACUCCUACGGAAACCACUCAAUCCAUGAGCAUGAGGAAUGCAAAUUCAUAAAACAAGAAAAAUAUAAAAUAUAUGGAGAGCAGACUCGGUCGAUCGAUGAAGCCUUAACAGCCCACUGCAACAAUUUUUCAACAUCUUCUCUGUUUUUUCUUCUUCUUCUUCUUUUUCCACAACUGUAACUUAUCAUAAGAAAAAAAGACUUGCAUUUGGAUAUAUAUAUAUAUAUGUUACAAAAAUUAAAGACAAUUAACUUGCACCCAUCAACAUCAAUAUCAAUAUUGAUCAAAUAUAGUAAACUCACGACCAUCGAGAAAGAAUGAAAAGUAAAAUACUUGCACCUAGCUAGGCUUCUGAUAUUUUAUAAUAUGUGAGUUUGAAGUAUAUGUCAGUUGCCAAGUUGACUAGAUAUACAAACAUUAACAACUUGUAAAGUCCAUGAAAAUAUAAUUGCAUUUUUAUAUAUAUAUUCCCUCGGGCUAUAGCACGCAUUAUAAGUUGUAUACUUCGCUGAGUUGAUCAUUUAAAAUUUAAUAAACCUUAUAUUAACUCUUCCACUUGAGAAUGAACGUCCACAGUAAUUUAUAUUAUAAAGAAUAAUUUCGACCUCGAGAUAUCAUAAAAAUAAUAAGGAAUACAUUAUUAAAGUACCAUAAUUUACAUUAUAAAGAAAAAAAAAUAAAACUCGAAGUCUUAUUUUAACACCAAUUACUGGUUGGGCUAGAAUAGGUAAGAACUAUAAUCACACAAGUUGGCUUAUGAAGAUGAUUUUGUUUUUGAGCUCAAUAACAAUACCACGCAACAAAUUAAAAAUCUAAACUGAUUCAAAAUCCGAUUGCUAGUACGUAGUGGGGAAGAAGGAAAAAAGUUCCAAAAGGAGGAUAAGAAGGUUUGGAAACACACUAGAUGAUCAUAUUUAUGAUGAAAAUAGAUCUUAAGUAUGGAAUUUUAUUAUAACAUUUUAAAAACCCUAUUUCCUAUUAGAAUUCCAAGACAAAAUAGAUCUUAAGUAUGGAAUUUUAUUAUAACAUCUUAAGGUUUGGAAACACACUAGGAUAAGAAGGUUAUCAAACAGGCAACAGUCCGCUUAGUGUUCUCCAUUGCAGUUUCGAGUGGUUGGAAAAUUCAUCAGCUUGACAUUCAUAAUGCAUUUCUAAAUGGAGUCCUUGAUGAAGAGGUUUACAUGAAACAACCUCCAGGUUUUGUUGAUUCUGCACUCCCAGGUCAUGUAUAUCGAUUGCAUAAAUCUCUAUAUGGGUUAAAACAAGCUCCGCGGGCUUGGUACACUCGUCUGAAUGAUUUUCUAUUAUCCAUUGGUUUCCGUGCUUCUAAAGUGGAUACCUCAUUGUUUAUCUUCUCGGUUGGUAGUGAUAUUUGUUAUCUUUUGGUUUAUGUUGAUGAUAUUCUGCUUACGGGUAAUAAUGGAACUCUGCUACAACGACUCAUUCAGCUACUGAGCUCAGAAUUUAAACUUCGGGAUUUGGGUGAUGUUCAUUAUUUCUUGGGUAUUGAAGUGCAGUGUACUGGUCUGGGACUUAUGCUUUGUCAACAUAAAUAUACACUUGAUAUCCUCACACGAGCUGGUAUGUUAUCCUGUAAACCAGUUGAUACUCCUAUUUCGGCAUCCAAAGCCACCAUUAUGCCGGAUCCAUUGUUUUCUGAUGCUACUCGUUUUCGGCAACUUGUUGGUGCUCUCCAAUAUCUCACUUUCACACGCCCGGAUAUUUGCUUUGCUGUUAACCGGGUCUGUCAAUUUAUGCAUGCUCCUACAGAAUCCCAUUGGGCUGCCGUGAAACGCAUCUUGCGUUAUCUCCGUGGUACGGCAUCACAUGGUUUACAUAUUACUCGCAGCUCUUCCUUUGCUUUACACGGUUUUACAGAUGCAGAUUGGGCAGGUAGUAUUGAGGAUAGAAAGUCUACAGGUGGUUAUCUUGUGUUCUUUGGUCAGACGCCAAUUUCAUGGAAAUCGAGUAAGCAACGCACUGUUGCUCGUUCUUCGACGGAAGCUGAGUACAAAGCCUUAGCCGAUGGCACGGCUGAAGUUAUCUGGCUUCAGUACUUGUUAACGGAUCUUCAGAUUCCGACUCCUUCUGCCCCUAUUAUCUGGUGUGACAACCUUGGUGCCACGUAUUUGUCCGCAAACCCUAUAUUUCAUGCUCGCACAAAACAUAUUGAGAUUGAUUAUCAUUUUGUCCGAGAUAGAGUUGCGAAGAAGGAGAUUCAGAUUCGUUUUAUUUCCUCUCAGGAUCAACUUGCCGAUGUCUUCACUAAGCCACUUCCUGCUGCUUCAUUUACUGCUUUUAGAUUCAAGCUUCGGGUUGAUCCUCCACCCUCAGCUUGAGGGGGCGUAUUAUAGAAUGUAAUUAUAUAGGAAAUAUUGUAGUCAUAUUCUUAUGUGGUAAUCUCCACCUUUACUAUUGUAUAUUGCCCUAAUCAUAUAUAUAGAAAGGGUUGGCUAACCUAUUAGGUUAAGCCUCCUAAUUAUUCUCAACUUGGUAUCAGAGCCUCCUAAUAUUUUCUCUCUUUGCAGCCGGCCCUAAUUUUCUCCCCCAUGGACUCUCCUCCUACUGCCGUUGCUCCAAUCUCUCCCUCCACCGGUGAUGCAUCAUCACCGGCCAGCCCUUUUCCUGCUGCUGGCUCUGCCGUUUCUCUGCCUCUUAUGGGAACACAAUCUUCAAUGGUUCCUCUAUCAAACACCCACCAUGUUGUGUCGUUGAAACUUACGAACACAAACUAUCUUUAUUGGAGAAUGCAGAUGAAGUCAUAUCUCCUUGGUCAAGGUGUUUUUCAAUUUGUUGACAGCUCCUUGCCAUGUCCUCCAUCUCAUAUGAUUGAUGCUUCGGCUGAUUCUUCUUCUGCCAUCAGCCCCUCUUUUCUUCGUUGGAAGCAACAAGAUCAACUUAUUUUGAGUGCUCUACUCUCCUCUCUUUCCGUGGAUGUGCUACAUCUUGUAGUCGAUUGUUCUACUUCACAUUGUGUUUGGCGCACGCUUGAGAAGGCACUUGCCUCUCCAUCUAAUUCGGAUCAUGCAACUACAUGGCUCCUUUCAAGACCUUCGGCAAGGUGAUGCAUCGGUUAGUAUGUAUAUGCAGCAAGCCAAAUCGUUAUUUGACGAAUUGGCUGCUGCUGGUCGCCCAAUGUCCCUUGAAGAUUUCAAUCUCUAUGUGUUUCGUGGACUUCGCGGUGAGUUCAAAGACUUGGUAACUAGUCUCAUAACCAAGGCUGAACCGCUAUCGUAUGCUGAUCUUCAUAGCCAUCUCCUUACCCAUGAGUUUCUGCACAAGAACUCUUUUCACUCCAUGGCUGUCGGUUCAUCCUCUUCAUCACUGUUGUCUUCUUCUUCUCUACCGCAGCAGCCACCAUUGCUGCCAACACCUCCGAAUUCUGCUUAUUAUGCCAUGACUAAUCACAGCCGAAACAGGGGACGUUCUAGAGGUAAUUGGCGCUCAAACACCAACCGAUUUCAGGCCCCAAACAGAGGUCACUCCGCUGUAGAUUGGAGGCAAAAUCAGUGGCAGAACAGGCGCACCUCUGCUGCAGAUUUUCGGCCAAAUCAGGGGCAGUGGUCUGGACAUGUCCGCUGCCAAUUAUGUUCCACUCCUGGCCAUUCAGCUCUUCAAUGCUAUCAGUUUCGCAGCAGCACACAGCAGCCCUCUGCUCACCUUGCUGUUGCGAAUGAUUCUACUGCAACGACUUGGUUUCCCGACACCGGCGCGAAUCAACAUGUGACGCCUGAUCUUGCAACUCUAACUGAUUCUGCUCCUUAUCUUGGUAAUGAUUUCUUGCAUGUUGGUGAUGGUAAGGCCCUUGACAUAUCCCAUGUUGGACAUACUACUUUAUAUUCCCCCAAACGCUUGUUUACAUUAACUAAUGUUCUUCGUGUGCCUCACAUUACCAAACCGUUGUUAUCUGUUCAGAAAUUCUGUCGUGAUAAUCAUGUUUAUUUUGAAUUUCACGAUUCUGUGUUUUAUGUGAAGGAUCUCGUCACCAAGGAAGUUCUUCUUUCCGGUCGGAGUCAUGAUGGUCUUUAUGUUCUCUCCGAGUCCUCGGCUACGUCAGUUCCUCAAGCUUUUUGGUCUCCUUGCAUUUCCGCGACUGCCGACUUGUGGCAUCGUCGUUUAGGUCAUCCAACUCCUCGCAUUCUAAAUUUGUUAGUUUCUGAUAAUAAAAUUAUUUGUACGUCUAAACGAUCUUUUACUCAAUGUCAAGCAUGUCCAUUAGGCAAGUCAUCCCGUUUGUCAUUACGACCGACGGGUCACAAAACUUCUACCCCACUUGAAUUAAUUUUUAGUGAUGUUUGGGGCCCUGCUCCAAUGUUUUCUUCUGAUGGUUUUCGUUAUUUUGUUAUCUUUGUUGAUGCGCACACUAAAUAUAUCUGGUAUUAUCCGCUUGUUGCGAAAUCUGAUGUAUUUUCCACGUUUCAACGUUUUCAGACACUUGUUGAGCGUCAGUUUUCUCUUAAAAUUAAAUCUGUUCAAACUGAUUGGGGUGGUGAAUAUCGUAAAUUAAAUACAUUUUUUCAAACAAUUGGUAUUCAUCAUCGAUUAAUUUGUCCUCAUACUCAUGAACAAAAUGGCACAGUUGAACGUCGUCAUAGACAUAUUGUCGAAACUGGCCUAACCCUCUUAGGCCAGUGUAAUGCCCCAUUGCGUUUUUGGAACUAUGCUAUGGAAUCAUCGGUCUAUCUUAUUAAUCGCAUGCCUACUCCUGUUCUUCAAAAUAAAUCUCCUUUUGCGUGUCUGUUUCAUCGCACUCCUGAUUAUAAUUUCUACGCACUUUUGGGUGUCUUUGUUUUCCAUUUUUACGUCCAUAUCAUGCUCAUAAAUUAGAUUUUCGGUCUUCUCCUUGUGUGUUUUUAGGCUAUAGCUCGUCUCAUCUUGGUUAUCGGUGUCUUGAUUUAGAGUCUGGUCGUGUCUAUGUCUCCCGUCAUGUUCGUUUUCAUGAAUGUGUCUUUCCUUUUAAAAAGUCUGAACAGGUAACAACACCCCCGGUUCCCCCACUCCACCUACCUAUCUUCCAUCACUGCAACCCCCUUCCUGUUUUCAGCCUCUUCCUUCCCAACUCGGCAAAACACACAACCCACCUUUGCCCCUUGCCGCAACCCCCAGCUUGCUCCCCUGCCCGUUGAUUUAGCCGACCCUGCCUCACCACCCCACACAGCCAUACUAUCACCACGUGCUUGUCUUUCCAAUGAUUAUUGUGCAGGAACAGGUUCUGACUUGCAGGAUUCAGUAGCGGCACAACCCGCACCUCCCCGGCUUCACCUCCUGGUCUGCAACUUUGUGUUGAUCUCUCCUCUUAUCCUCUUCAGCACAUUCCAGGUACAGGUGUUGCUACUCAUGCUCCAUCUCCCAGCUGCUCCUAAACACCCAUGGUUCUUCGUCUGAGACAGCCCAAGACAGCGCUGAUCACCACCACGGUAGCCACCUCUACUGCUUCCUUCAGUCGGGUAACUUCUCCUCCCUCGCAUGAGCCACUUAUUUUUCCUGAUGCUAACAGAUAUGAGGCGUGGCAUAAUGCUAUGCGAGAGGAAAUCCAGGCCUUACGCGCAAACAGAACAUGGACUUUAGUGCCAUUUCAUCCGUCCAUGAAUGUUGUUGGUAGUCGUUGGGUCUACAAAAUUAAAUGCAAAUCUGAUGGUAGCAUUGAGAGGUAUAAGGUGCGCCUGGUUGCUAGGGGCUUCACUCAGCAAGAAGGUAUUGAUUACUCAGAAACUUUUAGUCCUGUUAUCAAACAGGCAACAGUCCGCUUAGUGUUCUCCAUUGCAGUUUCGAGUGGUUGGAAAAUUCAUCAGCUUGACAUUCAUAAUGCAUUUCUAAAUGGAGUCCUUGAUGAAGAGGUUUACAUGAAACAACCUCCAGGUUUUGUUGAUUCUGCACUCCCAGGUCAUGUAUGUCGAUUGCAUAAAUCUCUAUAUGGGUUAAAAUAAGCUCCGCGGGCUUGGUACACUCGUCUGAAUGAUUUUCUAUUAUCCAUUGGUUUCCGUGCUUCUAAAGUGGAUACCUCAUUGUUUAUCUUCUCGGUUGGUAGUGAUAUUUGUUAUCUUUUGGUUUAUGUUGAUGAUAUUCUGCUUACGGGUAAUAAUGGAACUCUGCUACAACGACUCAUUCAGCUACUGAGCUCAGAAUUUAAACUUCGGGAUUUGGGUGAUGUUCAUUAUUUCUUGGGUAUUGAAGUGCAGUGUACUGGUCUGGGACUUAUGCUUUGUCAACAUAAAUAUACACUUGAUAUCCUCACACGAGCUGGUAUGUUAUCCUGUAAACCAGUUGAUACUCCUAUUUCGGCAUCCAAAGCCACCAUUAUGCCGGAUCCAUUGUUUUCUGAUGCUACUCGUUUUCGGCAACUUGUUGGUGCUCUCCAAUAUCUCACUUUCACACGCCCGGAUAUUUGCUUUGCUGUUAACCGGGUCUGUCAAUUUAUGCAUGCUCCUACAGAAUCCCAUUGGGCUGCCGUGAAACGCAUCUUGCGUUAUCUCCGUGGUACGGCAUCACAUGGUUUACAUAUUACUCGCAGCUCGUCCUUUGCUUUACACGGUUUUACAGAUGCAGAUUGGGCAGGUAGUAUUGAGGAUAGAAAGUCUACAGGUGGUUAUCUUGUGUUCUUUGGUCAGACGCCAAUUUCAUGGAAAUCGAGUAAGCAACGCACUGUUGCUCGUUCUUCGACAGAAGCUGAGUACAAAGCCUUAGCCGAUGGCACAGCUGAAGUUAUCUGGCUUCAGUACUUGUUAACGGAUCUUCAGAUUCCGACUCCUUCUGCCCCUAUUAUCUGGUGUGACAACCUUGGUGCCACGUAUUUGUCCGCAAACCCUAUAUUUCAUGCUCGCACAAAACAUAUUGAGAUUGAUUAUCAUUUUGUCCGAGAUAGAGUUGCGAAGAAGGAGAUUCAGAUUCGUUUUAUUUCCUCUCAGGAUCAACUUGUCGAUGUCUUCACUAAGCCACUUCCUGCUGCUUCAUUUACUGCUUUUAGAUUCAAGCUUCGGGUUGAUCCUCCACCCUCAGCUUGAGGGGGCGUAUUCUCGAAUGUAAUUAUAUAGGAAAUAUUGUAGUCAUAUUCUUAUGUGGUAAUCUCCACCUUUACUAUUGUAUAUUGCCCUAAUCAUAUAUAUAGAAAGGGUUGGCUAACCUAUUAGGUUAAGCCUCCUAAUUAUUCUCAACUAACACCAAUUACUGGUUGGGCUAGAAUAGGUAAGAACUAUAAUCACACAAGUUGGCUUAUGAAGAUGAUUUUGUUUUUGAACUCAAUAACAAUACCACGCAACAAAUUAAAAAUCUAAACUGAUUCAAAAUCCGAUUGCUAGUACGUAGUGGGGAAGAAGGAAAAAAGUUCCAAAAGGAGGAUAAGAAGGUUUGGAAACACACUAGAUGAUCAUAUUUAUGAUGAAAAUAGAUCUUAAGUAUGGAAUUUUAUUAUAACAUUUUAAAAACCCUAUUUCCUAUUAGAAUUCCAAGACAAUGCCAUCCGAGUUUCGAGAACAUACCAGAUUUGAUCUAAAAGUUACUACCAAGAAUUUUUCAUUAUUUUUCUAAUUUUUUAGGAUUUUUCUCUCAUUAAGUUAUAGAAUCUUAUAUGGUUUAGAUUUCUAUAUCCAAAUCAGUUUUAGUUAUUUUUUUACAAGAGGGGAUUGAUUAUUUUAAAUCUUUAUAUUUGUUUGGGAUAAUUAAAGUUUGUACUUGUAGUAUAUAUCAAAAGACUUGAGAACAAUUGAAGCAGGUAGUUAGGCAGGCUGCUUUUAAAAUAUCUACCUUCAACAAAAGAGUAUAAUAAUGAUUAAUUGUUAAAGUGUUUUUUUUUUAAUGUAUUAAAAUAUAUAUAUUUUUUAUUUUUUAAAAAUUAUUUUAACAUUAACACAUUGAAAUAAUUCAAAAACAUAAAAAAAAAUAUUUUAAAUAUUUUAAAAAAAUCAUGAAAAACAAGUUGCACCGUAACCCUAAACAGCCUCUUCGAUGAAGACUUUACAAUUUCAAAAUUGUUAUACACUUGAUAUGUAUUUAUGCAUUUACAUUUCAUAUUAUUGUCACAACUUUUUAGUAGCAAUAAGACUCUCAUAUCUUUGAACAAGUAUUUAUCUAUUAAAGUUCAUUUUUUCUAUAUUAGAUCUUAAACAAAACAUUCACACAUGCUACUUUUAUUUAUAAAAUCAGAACUUUUCUAGCAUCAUCUUAAAAAGAGAUCAAUGUAAAUUUUGGGGGCGUAAGCCCUCUCUCAAUAAAUUUCUUUUAUUGCCCAAAAAUAAAUUGAGAAGAAGAAAGAUGGUCAAUUGAUGUCAUUACUGAAUCCCAAGUUUUCAGUCUAUUUUCUUUUUCUCAAGGAAAGUUAUUAGUGUACACGUACGAAAGAUACAAAAAUAGAAAAGAAAUUGAUUAUUUUAAGUCAAAAUUAAAGGCAAUCAGAUUAUUCCUUUUAUUCUAUUCUAAAAAGAAAAUUCUAUUCUAGAAAGAAAAAGAAAUUCUUAUUUCUACAUGAUGAAGUAACUGUUUUAAAACUCUAACCGGUUUGAUUGUUAACCUAUGAUUCUGGUGACUCAAAGCUGAGACCAAGAAGGAUUUUGAUAAGAAUAGAGAGAUAAUUGAUCGAAUUAAAAAUUUAAAUUUUUAAAACUAUGUUUGUAGCUGCUCAUGCAAUGGCUAGAAAAUGAUUGGAAUCUUGUUUCGGUAAGAAUUCGUAUGCUAGGGAAAUUUGAGGUAGCUGUGGAGCUUUCUCUAUCUGUGAAUGGAGGUAAACAUCAUUGAAUUUGGUUUUAUUAGGAAAUCGAAGGUACUCGUCAAUUUCUUUUUGAGAGAGUAGUGUUGGGGGAUCCGACCGGUGAUGUACUGAUAGUUGCCCAUUGGAGUCUAAGCACACUGACACAAUAUUUAACGUGGUUCAGCAAACUACCUACAUCUACGGGAGAGGUAUAUAUUAUUAUAGAUGGAUAGAGAAAGGGUUACAACACACAUGGAGGAGGAGGAUCACUUCACUCUAACUCUACUCGCAUUGCUCACACACACUGCUGGACAUUGCAGCAGGGCUUCCGCCCUUGGCAGCCACUCAUCUUUCUCUCUUCCUCUCUUUUCUUCACACUCUCAUUCUCUCUCAACUUUGCUAUCUAAAUUUUGCCUCUAUUUAUAGGCAUCAAUGAUGCUGCUCCAGCUCAUCUUUAUUAAUGGUGGUCACCUAACAUUUGCCUACUUUGUGACUUUUGGUUGUUGCACCAACAAUCCUUUUUGAAAAUGGAAGCCAUCUUCUUUGUUGUAACCCAUUUCCGGGUCCCCACAAAAAUAAAUAAAAUAAAUAGCCAAAGGAGGUUAGAAAAAUAACAGGAGGCAGAAGCGCUCAGAAAAUGGUCAGAAAAAUCGGUCAAGGAGGUUAAAAAUACAAAGAUGGAUUUUUGACAAUAUAUUCUUGAAUGAUAAGAGCCCUGGUGGAUAAGAAACUUUGAUUUUUGAGGAGAAAAGUCCAAAUUUAGAGGUUUAUGGACUUAAUUGGAUUUUUAAUUGAAUUUAUAGAGGAUUUGAUUGCAAGAAAAUUUGAUUUUUAAGUCAAUUUGGGCUUUAAUUAGAAGAAAUUUAAGUUCUGGGCCAAAAUAUAUCUUUAGGAAUUUAUUAAGUCAAAUCAGGGGCUUAAUUGCAUAAAUAUUGAAGUUUAAUGGCCAAUCAGGGACUUAAUUGUGAAAAUCCGAAACUAGGGACCAAUUUGGAAAAGGCGCGAAGAUAGGGGGCUGUAUUGAAUUGAUUCAGGGGCCUAAUUGAAGAAAUUGGAAGUUUUUUGAUCAAUUGAGGGCUAAAUUGCAUAAAUCAGAGGCCAAGGACUGAAGUGAAAAACACGGCCAACUAUAGGGGCGGGGACAGAAAUUGGCAGGGACGCAAUUGAAAUGAACAAAAAGUAAUUGGGGGCUAAUUUGAACAUUGGCGCGUUUCUGGCGCUACAUUUAAAUGAAACGGCGCCUUUUCUCCAAAACGACGCCGUUUCAUACACAUAAAAAAAAAAGAGAGAGAGAAAGACCGAACGGUGCCGUUUUGAACGACAUUGUUCCCCUUUCUUCUUCCCCCCGAACAUGCAGCGGGGAAGAAGGAAAAAGAAUGCAUUGUUUAAUUUCGUCGGUCCCUCUAGCCCACCGACCAACCGAGGCCCCACGUUGUUGAACCACCAACCGAAGACACUGGCCGACCACCCGCCGCGCUACCGAAACCGAGGGAGGCACGCCUGGACAGCCGCGCCCCGACCAGCCGCUGCGUGACCCGCUCCCCAUGCUCCACAAUGAAAAGCCACGCUCACUGGCUCUAUAAAUAGGACCCAACACAGCAGCAAAAAGAAAGGAGGAGAAAAAAAACAGAGAACCAGAAAAAAAAAAACAAAAAAAAACCGAAGAGGGAAGAGAGGAGAGAACCCGAAGAGAGAGAGAGAGAGAAGAAACCGGAGAAGGAACGGACAGAGAAGAGAGGGAGGAGGAAACAAAACAAAAAAACAAGCAAUGAGACAGUGAGGGGACGACCGAGAGGGGAGACCCAUUGUACACAGAGAUGAUUGAACAGCUGACAAAAGGAAACACCCGAGAUCAAGAGGAGAAGAACCAGACAUAAGCAAAAAGGAGGAAGACAGAGGUACAUGUGUCUGCAUAAAGGAGAAGAAAUAAUGUAGAAAACAGUUGCGCUUCCCAGCCACUGCCACCGUCAGCACCACCGGGAGACGUCGACUGCCUCUCCACCGCCACCAGCAUCACUGGGAGUGUUCGCCAUCGUCUUCAACAUCGUUUCUGCCACCAGGUUUGCACCCCCUUCGUCGCUGUGCAUGCACCAUUUCCUUGCAUUUCACUGUUCAAGUGAAAUAUAAUUCACUUGAACAGUGAAAUGCUAAUUCACUGUUCACAUUAAAUAUAAUUCACGUGAACAGUGAAAUGCUAUUUAACUGUUUACAUCAAAUAUAUUUCACUGUUCACACGAGGCCUGCUGGGUUCAGCCCAGCCACGUGGGACCUGCUGGGUCCAGCCCUAAAAAAAUAUAAAAAAUAAAAAUUCUUCAAAAAUUGUUUCAAAGAAUUUGUGAUUUUUCUGUAAUUUUAUUACUAUAUUUUGGUCAAUAUCGGUUUGUAUUUUUAUAUUAUAAAGAUACAAAUCCGGUAUUAAAAUACCCGGUUUUCGUCAACAAAAAAAAUGUUUAUUAAAAAAAAAUGUUUUGUUUUCAUGCAAACGGCCAAUACUCUAACAUGUUUUGAAUGUUCUUUUUAUAUAAAAAAAAAAAUUGGAAGUUUUGAAAAUGUGUUUUCGCAUAGAUUUCUUAAACACAAAUUAUUUUCUUGCAUUUCUGGAUUUUACAACAUAUUUGUAAAACUCCAAAGGGUAUUGGCCAAUAUUCCAAAAACUAUAAAAAUCUUAUUUUGGGGGGGGAAUUCAUCUAUUAUUCACCGCUAAUGUUUGGAUAAAGAAAUCCUUAAAGGACGAAUAUCCAAAAUAUUAUUAGGAGUAAUAAAUCUGCACACAUCCUUGAAAGAAGCCUUGAUUAUAAUUGAGGACAUUUCAAAAUUUCAAAUUUUUUACUCCACGGUUUACGAGCCGUGAAAGUAUGAAAUACUAAGGAAAAAGGAGGCUUUUAAAGCGCUUUAAAUUUCCUUAGAUUUCUAAAUUUUUUUGUCCCUCCUCCUUGCGAUUUACGAGUCGUAAACUCUUGAAAUACUAAGGGAAAAAUGAGCUUUCAAAGCACAUGGAAUCUCUUGAAAUAAAUUUCAUUUGAAUCAAACUUAGGAAAAUUGAUGGGAUUAGGAAACACCAACACCAUAGCAAUUAUAGAGCAAGCCAAACACCAAGCAGCUUACCUUAGGUAGGGCAUACUAGGGGUGUUAAUACCUUCCCUUUACACAACCAGUCCCUUACCUUAGAAUCUCUGAAAGACCAGUUAGAGUUCCUAGUGACCAAAAUACUAGGUGGCGACUCCAAAGAACCAAAUCAGCAAAACAAAACAAAAUCACCAAUCGAACCUGCAAUAUGGAUUUUUUUUUAGGGUGCGACAUUCUUCUAGAAGAUGGGCUGCAAAUGCUGCCACAUAAGUGGUAAUAUCCCAACAAUCACCCCCUUUGCCAUUUAUGUGGGGCAAUUGUCCUCUUGCAUUUUCAACACAAGCUUGCAUCCUGCAGCUCUUCCAAGCUUACCAUUCCGAGAGAAUCUGUGGCCAAGUUUACAGGUACUCGCCAAACCUUUCAAUCACCAGAGUUACCCAAGCACACCUUUUCUCACACCAAAGGAUCACUUCAACCAGAUGGUCUCCAACAUCACAUCUGAAUAGUGUUAACGCUUGUCUCUAUGACACUACAUUUCCUUUCGAGCGUAUCAACCAUGCUCGGUCCAGAAACCACGCUUUACUCAUCCCAGAGUUGCAUCUGCCCUCUGUUCCACCAUAGAAACCACGCUUUACUUCUCAGUGAGUCUUCCACUCUUAGUCUCAAGAGUCCAGGUAGCUCUCCACCUUUAACCAUGGGGGCAUCCCAUUAAAGGUUGAUCCAUAUCUGUCUUCAUACUCUGAGUAUUACAAUGCCAUCACCGAGCUCGCCACCUUGACAAGAGUCAACUUGUUCCCCGAACCUGCGCAUGCCCUCUGCUCAUUCCUAGCAGUCACGUCUUAAUACUCCACAAGUCACCCAUUUAUUGUCCAAGGCAAAUAUCUUCUAGCUCAUUGAUCUUUAGCAUGGGGGAAAUAUCCAUGAAAGUCAAUCCUGCAUAUGUCUUCAUAUUCAUCAUAGCCACUUCAUUUAGCUAUACACUUGUCCACUUAUAUCCAGCCAUCACAUUGGCUCUAGGGCAUUCUGAACUGGGGCUCCUAUCAUGGCCCUCACACCUUCUCUAAGGUGUCUUCGCCUGUUGUCAUAAGACGGUCUGAACUGGGGCUCUUAUCAUGGCCCACACACCUUUCAUUUCAGGUGUCUCUGCUCGUCGUCAUGCGGCGGUCAGAAUCUGGGCUCAUAUUAUAGCUCUCACACCUUCCAUCCGAGGUGUCUCCGCUCAUCAUGGAGCAAUCUCAUCCUCCUUCAUCAGGGAUAACUCCAGUGGCUCCAAGAUUCUCUACCACUAUGUGGACUUGGGAGAGAUCACAACUGUCGACUAAAUAAAAAGAGAAAGUUGCGGUAUACUCCUCACAAUCCUCCACCUUGAAUUCUAUAUUUGGAGCUUCUACGCCUUUCUGCUUGACAGCUCCACCUACACCAACUCUCUUUGGUGUCUUCGCCUUUCAUAGGCGGUCGCCAUUUAUCAUAAGCGUUUGCACCCCCUCAAUUAGGUGCCUCCACAACAGCUCAUCUUUCCAUUGUUACAUGCAUUAGAAAGGUCUUCGACUGUUGCCUUUACCAAGAGCACAAGAGACUUCCUGUUGUAUAUCAUUCACACAAUCUCUACACUGAGCUUCAUUUGGGAACUCUUCUUCUCUUUUCACUUGUUGUCUCAUUACAGUACCUCGUUAGAUUCUACGGGUACUCCUGCAUAAUCUCCAUAUGCUCUCGUGCAAUAUCUGUUCUCUAGAUUUCUCCCUAUUCUUUGCUUUUAUGUUUGACAACAGCUUAUCAUGUCACAACGCCUACCAAGUCAAAAUAGGGAGCCAAUCUUUAUCCCCUUGUUGUAUUUCUCUUCCAUUAUCAGGGUCUUCAUCAAUUCUCCCCUCGAGAAAUUACAGUCACCGAAUCUAACUUCUUUAGAGAAAUCACCACUCCAUUAGAUCCUUGAUCAUACGGAACCCAAUUGUUCCUUUGUGCUGUCAUCUUGCUAGUCUUCAAUAGUUUCAUUACAAACUGUUACAUAUACGAAAAUAGUACCAUAUGGAUAAUCCUUCAGCUAAGCAAGUUCCCAGGAAAGAUUGGAGGGAUUACAACGGUCUCGUUUAAAACUUAAUAUCCUAGCCAGAACUUCUUAGGCUAUAUCUAUCUAUCGUACUACCUUUUCAUAUAUACAACCAUUUGCUAGCUUUGUUGCAACUUUCUUUUAUAAGUGAUCUGGAAUAUUUUUUUUUAUACAUGAUUUCUCAACAUCUGGUGAGACUACCAGUGCUUAGAUUCGUCAAGAUUGGUCUUCAUCAAUUUUUCACACUCCACCUCAAAUCGUCUAUAUGAUCGGGUGUUUAGAGUGUCCCAAUUUUACUUUCCUUUAAGGCAAUUAAAAUUUCCCCAUUUAACAGCUUAGCACAUGCAAUUGGAUAAACAUGUGCACCUUCUUCUUCAUCUUCAUCUUCAUCUUCAUCGACCACCAUGAUGAUCUUCAUCUUCUUCAUCUCGAUCGGGCAAUCUCUCUUAAUAAUUCACCACCACCAUUUUUGGUCUCAAUCUGAAUGAUCAGACUAUACCAUUGUAUUUAGAAUGAUCAAAUUAGUUGGAAAUAAGUCUGAAAUCGUGCAAAUCACAUUUCAGACGUCUAGGAUUUGAUCAAAACAAUUCUGGCCUAAUCGACGGGCUAGAUUUAAUCUUAUAUCUAGUUGCAAGUAGACUCCGCUACACAGAAUCCUAUCCCUCGGCUCUGCUCAACCUAGCUUGGCUCACGACUGAUGACAUCGCAGGUGGGUCCCACCUGAUGAUGUGUCUGCUGACUAGUCGCUGACAUUGAAUGCCAACUGUGCAUGAUGAUGUCAUCCUUAUCCGAGUAAGGCACAUGGGUCGGUUCAUCUGGUAUUCGGGUCUAGUCGGCCCAUCCGGGCGAAGAAGACUCGUGCGGCAUGUGGCUUGCGUCUGUGCGCGUGGAUAGCCAGUUGGCUGGCGUGUGGGGGAGCGUGCAGCCAUUCCUGGCGUCUGAUUUUGACGGGGUUUUCACUAGUGUGCUCGUCUCUUCCUCCUCUACAAGGUGGUAUGGUCAAAACCCAAUUUAAAAACUUUCAUUUAUGAGCAAAAAUCAAACACCACUUUAAACCAAAUGCUCUGAUACCAAUUGUUGGGGAAUUCGACUGAUGAUGUACUGAUAGUUGCCCAUUAGAGGCUAAGCACACUGACACAAUAUUUAAUGUGGUUCAGUAAACCGCCUACAUCCACGGGAGAGGUCUAUAUCAUUAGAGAUAGAUAGAGAAAGGGUUACAACAUACAUGAAGGAGGAGGAUCACUUCACUCUAACUCUACUCUCAUUGCUCACACACACUACAUGACAUUGUAGCAGGGUUGCUACCCUUGGCAGUCACUUCUCUUUCUCUCUUCCUCUCUUUUCUUCACACUCUCAUUCUCUAUCAACUUUGCUCUCUAACUUAUGCCUCUAUUUAUAGGCAUCAAUGGUGCUACUACAGCUCAUCUUUAUUUAUGGUGGUUACCUAACAUCUGCCAACUUUGUGACUUUUGAUUGCUGCACCAACAACCCUCUUUGAAAAUGAAAGCCAUCUUCUUCUAGAAGAUGGGUUGUAAAUGUUGCAACAUAAGUGUCAAUAUUCCAACAAGUAGUACGCCAUGUAAACACACAAUUUUUAUUUGAACACAGGUGACAAAAGAAAUGGAAAAUUUGGAUUCUUGAAAAAUGUCAAGCUUCCAAGUUCCACGAGAAUUACUAGAUAACUCAAGAACAUCAUCAGCCAUAAUCUACAAUUUAUUAAUGGAGCUAUCUGACUUAAUUGAAUGUUGGAAACUGAUUGUGGUCUGACUUUAAUUGCUGUUAGUGUAGUUCUCGAUCUGCAAUGACAUCACAGUCUGGGAUGGUUCAUAUGAGGACUUGCAUUCUUGCAGAAAGAGUGUGAUGAUUCGCCUAACAAGUGUUCUGUUUCCUCGCUAUUUUGCUGAGCCAAUGAUUUCUGAUGAAGAGCUUUCAGCUUAGCAAGCUCAUCGGACACUUCCUUCAUGGUUGGCCGGUUUACUCCCAUGCUAUUCAGACAUCCUUUUGCAAGCUUAGCUACAGCUUCUAUCUCAUCCAUUUCGCCUUCAUCAGCUGCCUGGAAAUCCAAAAUUCUGAAAAGAUUAUUAGUUUCCAGUGCUGAGAUAAAGUGUUGAAUGAGGUUCCGUUUCUCUCCAGACUUGGAAAUGGAGUUUGGCAUCUCUCCGGUGAGAAGCUCCACAAGAACUACCCCAAAGCUAUAGACAUCACUUUGAACGGUUAAAAUACCCGUCAUAAGAUACUCAGGAUCCAGGUAGCCUAGAGUACCUUGUAUUUUUGUAGCUAAGAUAUCGGUUUGGCCAGGAGACAUCAGCACCGAAGCUCCAAAAUCUGCUACUUUUGCUGUGUAAUUACUGUCUAGAAGUAUGUUUACUGACUUGACAUCCCCAUGAAUAACUGGAGGGUCUGCCAGAGAGUGCAAAUAAUCAAGCGCAAGCGCAGCCUCCGAUGCCACCCUCAAACGAUUGGUCCAGGAAGCCAAUAUCCGGGAACCUUUGUUGUGGAUGUGCUUGGAAAGAGUUCCAUUUGAGAUGAACUCAUAGACCAGUAAUGGAACUUUGGUCUCUAGACACAGGCCCAAGAGCUUUACCACAUUCCUGUGAUUGACCUGCGAAACAAUGCUCAUUUCCUUUUGAAAUUCCGCAUUCAUCUGAGCUUUGUCCAUCCCUUUGGACUUCUUGACAGCAACCACUGUAUUAUCUGUUAAAACUCCCUUGUAAACAGAACCAAAACCACCCUCCCCG
This 30061-nucleotide long non-coding RNA is filed under the name Populus tremula. RNAcentral describes it as "long non-coding RNA (PTRE_LNC002252)". Lineage: Eukaryota; Viridiplantae; Streptophyta; Magnoliopsida; Malpighiales; Salicaceae. The record is from RNAcentral.